AAACUGCUGUGUUUGACGUCUGUCACCCCAUUAAUCGCCAGGGUUGAUUCUGCUGAUCUGGCUGGCUAGGCGGGUGUCCCCUUCCUCCCUCACCGCUCCAUGUGCGUCCCUCCCGAAGCUGCGCGCUCGAUUGAAGAGGACGGCCUUCCCCGAAUAGACACGGACCGGUCUUCGGUCGAGGGUAUAGGAGUAGCUGCGCUCCCCUGCUAGAACCUCCAAACAAGAAUAAAUAAUAAUAAAAUAAAUAAUAAUAGGAGAAAAAUAUCUUUCUGUCCUUUUUCUACUAAAUAAUAGACAUGGAUUAAGCUGAAACUCUAUUUAU
This 322-nucleotide small nuclear RNA is filed under the name Sorex araneus (European shrew). RNAcentral describes it as "7SK RNA (ENSSARG00000017589.1)". It matches the Rfam family "7SK RNA". From Rfam's summary of the family: 7SK was discovered as an abundant small nuclear RNA in the mid-70s but a possible function has only recently been suggested. Lineage: Eukaryota; Metazoa; Chordata; Mammalia; Eulipotyphla; Soricidae. The record is from RNAcentral.